Molecule: small RNA, 169 nt
Filed under: Erwinia billingiae
Lineage: Bacteria; Pseudomonadati; Pseudomonadota; Gammaproteobacteria; Enterobacterales; Erwiniaceae
Description: SraG RNA
Rfam family: SraG RNA
About the family: This RNA was discovered in E. coli during a large scale screen. Evidence was found for specific cleavage of this RNA.
Source: Rfam by way of RNAcentral
CCUCAUCUGCAUCCUCGCGACUAAUGACAACCCUAAUCCCUUAUGGGACAAAGCCUCUCAUUAGCCGCGCGAACCUCUGCAACUGAAGAUCACACCCAGCAACAAUACAAUAGUUUGGCUUGAAAUGCUGCCGCUCGCCUAAAAAAAGGGGCCAUAAAGGCCCCUUUUU